This 254-nucleotide ribosomal RNA is filed under the name uncultured bacterium. RNAcentral describes it as "partial 16S ribosomal RNA". It matches the Rfam family "Bacterial small subunit ribosomal RNA", at positions 524 to 776 of the family's 1533-position model. The record is from RNAcentral.
UACGUAGGGGCCAAGCGUUGUCCGGAUUUAUUGGGCGUAAAGAGCUCGUAGGCGGUUCGGCAAGUCGAAUGUGAAAUCUCCACGCUCAACGUGGAGGGGUCAUUCGAAACUGCCGUGACUCGAGUCCGGUAGGGGAGUGUGGAAUUCCCGGUGUAGCGGUGAAAUGCGCAGAGAUCGGGAGGAACACCCGUAGCGAAGGCGGCACUCUGGGCCGUGACUGACGCUGAGGAGCGAAAGCGUGGGGAGCAAACAGG